Molecule: ribosomal RNA, 474 nt
Filed under: uncultured bacterium
Lineage: Bacteria
Description: partial 16S ribosomal RNA
Rfam family: Bacterial small subunit ribosomal RNA
Source: RNAcentral
GAUGAACGCUAGCGGCAGGCCUAACACAUGCAAGUCGAGGGAGGAGCCUUCGGGCGUUGACCUGCGUACAGGUGGGUAACCCGUAGACAAUGUAACGUUCACAUAUGCUUAGCCUGAAGAAAUUUUGACUAAUUCCUAAUGGUCUAGAGAUGUGGCAGUACCUUUAUAUUAAAGCUGAUGAGGUUAAAGGUGAGAGGGCGUUCUAUGAGCUAGUUGGAGCGGUAACGGCUCCCCAAGGCGACGAUAGCUAAGGGUUCUGAGGGGGAUGUCCCCCACAAUGGAACUGAGCUACGGUCCAAGCUCCUACGGGAGGCAGCAGUGUGGAAUAUUGGUCAAUGGUCGGUAGACUGCUCCAGCCAUGUCGCGUGCAGGAAGACGGCCUUAUGGGUUGUAAACUGCUUUUGUAGGGGGAUAAUGCGCACUACGCGUCGUUUCAUGCCGGUACCAUGCGAAUAAGCACCGGCUAACUCCGUG